UACACUUAUUCCUCGCUGCCGCUUGUAAUAAUCCCUCCGAAGCUGAGGAUGAAAUUGGUUUCUCCGUGAUCUCUCUUUCCACCCUGGGUGAUCCCCAUAGGAUUCUUCACAAGGACGCAAAUCUUUGUCGGGGUUCAUUGGUGGCUGUGGUUUUCCUGCCCAGCCCACUACCACUGGGCCGUAGAUGAGAUGGAUAUCUUGUCCAGCCCGCUGCCACUGGACCAUUUCUGCAGGUAAGGGGGUCAAACCCACAGCCACUGGACCCUCUUCUCUGUAGGGCCCAUCUAUCACCCCAUCUUGCAGUGUGGAGCCUCGAGUUCUCCAAAUGUCCAGAUCGCAGCUGUCACUGAGCAGUUGCAUCUGUUACACAGUAAAGGAGUCCUAGAGAAGUGCUGCCAAGGGGAACUCAUAAAAAAGCCGCUGCUGGAGACUCAGAUGUGCCCUGCUGAGCGAGGCAGUCUCCUCCUACUUACCGUGCUGCAGUGAGCCGCAGUCACCCGCGGGGGAGUUGAAGAAUAAGUUGAAUAUGGUUGAACACGGUGGCAUCAUACUGCUCAGCCAUCUCUGGGGUUAACUGCAGAUGAGAUAAUUCCUGUAUAACUCCUGGAUCCUCUAGGGCAUUCUGCCACUGUAUCCACACUUCAUGGUACAAGGGCGAAUGGACAGAUCUCCAGCUUCCAAGUGAAACGUGAAGGCGACUCGACAAGGAUUUCUGUUAGGACAAUAGUUUUGCUUCAUGAAGACCAGGAAGGCUUGAACUCAGGACAAUGGGUAUCUUGAAUUUACUCAGUUCCCAUCUCUUAAGUUAUUAAACAUUAUUUCCCACCUGUCUUGUGUAUUUUUGCUUGAUCCCUAUAAUAUGGGGGCAGGCAUAAUUUUGUAUAACCCCUGUAAGACGUGUGCCAGGUACAAUUGGCCCUAUUUCCUAUGUGGGGAAACUGAGACUCAGAGCAGAGAAGCGACUCUCCUAAGUCACACGUUGUAUUGCUGGCAGAGUCUCGGGCAGGAGUCGUGCCUCCUGAUUUCCAGGUACAUGCUGCUUUUGCUAGAACCAAUCUAUUAAAGAACCAAGACUCUUUUAUUUGGAAUUAAUGAGGGAUUCCAAAAAUAGUGUUAGCAGUGCUUAACAAAUUUGAAAGAGCAAAGGAACUGAAGCCAGAGAAGACUGAGAUAGGGGAGCUGUUUCAUUGUAUCAAUUUCUAUUCACUUUGUUAAUAAUUGAUGCCACAUUUACUCAUUGUUAUAUAUUAAAAAUACUUGAUUUGCUACAAGGUAAAAAUGACCCAUUGACUUUGUCUCUCAACCUACGCUAACCCUAAAUGAGAAUCUCAUUGUGACCACGAUUUUGCAAAAUUGAUUAAAUGGAAAUAAAUGCAUUCAAGUGUCAAAGGCUGCAUUGGGAAUGGUUGCUAAUGAGCUUGACCUUUCAGAGCUUCCUGGCUGGGUGCACAGUAGGUGUUCAAUGAGUACUGAUGGAUGUCUUGACUGACUGAGAUUUCGGUUAGCCUUCCAUCCCCGGGAGCAUGGUGCCUCUAAUGUGUUAGAUGGCAUCAUGUUCCAAAAAUGAAUCGAUCUAUAAAUUUGAAGACUAAUUUGGAAACAUUUUAACCUUACUAAACAGAAUAGUAUGAUAAAACCUAGGUACCCUACGCCAGCUUCAAAUCAAUAUUCUGCUGUUUUUGUUUACUUCCCUUAACACACAUCACUGCCUCCCCACCCCCAACACACACACACUUUUUUGUUUUUGAGACAGAGUCUCGCUCUGUCACCGAGGCUGGGGUGUAGUGGCGCCAUCUCGGCUCACUGCAAGCUCCGCCUCCUGGGUUCAUGCCAUUCUCCUGUCUCGGCCUCCCAGUCUCCAGAGUAGCUGGGACUUCAGGUGUCCACUUUUUUUUUUUUUUUUUGGCUGAAGUACCAUAAAGGAAAUUUCAAACAUUGUGUCAUUCACCUGUGAAUAAAUCUGUAUGUACCUCCAAUAGAUAGACUAAAAAAACCACAACCUUAUCACCACAACACAAUUAGCCAUUGUUUCUUAAUAUCAUAGGAGGCCUCUUCCAUGCUGAAUGCUCCAU
This 2072-nucleotide long non-coding RNA is filed under the name Homo sapiens (human). RNAcentral describes it as "HSALNT0223969". The record is from RNAcentral. Lineage: Eukaryota; Metazoa; Chordata; Mammalia; Primates; Hominidae.